GUUUGCAGAGCACGCUGAUAGCACACGAUAGCCUCUUGAGGCAUUCCUAAAGCCUUGUAAACAUUUCCUUGGUUCAUAUGGGCAUCAGAAAAUGAUGGCUUGUGUUUCACAGCUUCCUUAUAAUAUAUAAGGGCUCUGUUAAGGUCUCCUGACUCCAUGUAAAGGGCGGCAAGAUUUGACCAAGCAAUAGCAAAAGUGGGUUGUAUUCGCAAGGCCUCGAUAUAGCAAUUGUACGCUUCUUGAAUCAAUCCUUGCGCUUUCAUAAGAUUCCCCAGGUUGCUGUGGGCGUCAACCAAGCGUGGGUUCAGAGAUAGAGCUUGGCGACAACACUGGGCGGCCUCAGGAAGUCUUCCUUUUCGUGUAUAGGCACUGGCCAAAUUUGAC
Molecule: unclassified non-coding RNA, 384 nt
Filed under: Hevea brasiliensis (rubber tree)
Lineage: Eukaryota; Viridiplantae; Streptophyta; Magnoliopsida; Malpighiales; Euphorbiaceae
Source: RNAcentral